CAAAGUUUUUGUUAGUUUAGUUUUUUCUUCUUCUUGAGAUGCUAAUACCUUCAGACACUAAAUCUCAAAAUAGUCAUGGCUACCAAAGAACUAUAUAUAUGGGAAGAAAGCAUGUAGAAAUAUAUGAACAAAUAAAAAAUCUAAUCUAAUCGUAAAGUGUUCUAAAAAUGUAGAGAAUGCAAUUAUGACAAAGUUAAAUUCUACGCACAUAAUAAUACUCUCUUCGCAUUUUUCAAAUGCAUACACAAAUACACAGUUAUAAACAGGGCAGACAAACGAAUAUUGUGCAAGCAGUUUGAUUAUUAGAACUAAAAUAUCAGGAAAAAAAGUAUUACACAAAAUAUGUAUUUAUAAAAUAAAGAGUAUUAAAAAGUCGAUGGAUAACAAUGCUAGAAGAAUACUCAAAAUGGCGGCUCAAGCCUCUGUAGUUCAGCAAGAGUAACGUACACUGCAGAUUGUGUGUGUGUGUGUGUGUGUGUGUGUGUGUGUGUGUGUGUGUGUGUGUGUGUGUGUGUGUGUGUGUGUGUGUGUGUGUGGGCGUGCCCAAGUCUGUGUGUCUGUCUGUCUGUCUGCAUUCGACUGUACUUGGGAAUGUGUGUGUUGGUGUAUCCUUGUAUUGUGUGUGUGUGUGUGUGUUUGUGUAUGUGUCUGUGUGUAUGUUUGCUGAAUAGAGAUAACCUAACCAAAAAGGAAUAAGUCCCCAAGCCUGUCAUGAUUUAUGCCCGUCUACACCUUUGUGGUGUAUUUGUGUGAAUUAUCUUUCUGUCACACUGAUUUUUACUGAUGUGCACGAGUGUGUGACUGUAUAUAUGCAAACAAGCUUAUAUCUGUGCACUUCGAUGUGUUCGUCAGCUUGCCUGUGUCUGUAUGUGUGUGUGUAAAUUCAUUUGUGUGUGUGUGUGUGUGUGUGUGUGUGUGUGUGUGUGUGUGUGUGUGUGUGUAUGUGUGUAUGUGGCGUAUGUAUAAAGUGCAUAUGUGUGAGUAUUUGUGUAUGUGUGUGUAUGCACAAAUUUCAUUUUUAAGUGUGUGUGUAUACUUGUGCAUUAAGUGCAUAUCUGUGUGUGUGUGUGUGUGUUUGUGUGUGUGUAUGUGUAUACUUGCGCAUUAAGUGCAUAUCUGUGUGUGUGUGUGUGUUUGUGUGUGUGUGUGUAUGUGUAUACUUGUGCAUUAAGUGCAUAUCUGUGUGUGUGUGUGUGUGUGUGUGUGUGUGUUCCCGCGCAUAUGUGAGGGUGUGUCUCUACACCACACCUCCUCUGCGCAGAAAUGCAGCAUUACGAGCACGCCUCUCCGAGGGGGGGUGUGAUAGGCUUGGGGAGCGCGGGCCCAGCGGCAGGAACCUCCCUUCGAUCAGGCCAUCUGCCUGCACCUUGGUGGCACAGUACACCUUACGAACAGCAAUGCCCCCCCCUGAUGUGGGAGGGGGGGGGGGGAUGGUCUCAAAAUGCCCCGUCAGCUGAACGCUUCGACCAUCGCAGAGACAAACGAAAAAAGGGGGACUGCAUGCAUAACAGACAAAACAGAAAAGAGGUGGGGGAAAACUUUCUUUGCUUUUAGAUGCUUCUAUCUCUUUCUUUUUCUCUCUCCCUCUCUUUUGCUCUCCCUCUCUCCCUCUCUCUCUCUCUCUCUCUCUCGCUUUCUCCUGCAGUGGGGUAAGAGUGGGCUACGCUGCAAUGGAGUCCCUGCACAGAUUGAUCUAACAUGGCCGCCACAGGCUGUGCUUUGGGAGUGAGUGUGCACGCCGAAAAGCUAGUGCACUCGGUCCGUGCUGCCUCUACUUCGGGCCAGCCGGUUCUGUUUGUCUCCCGGCUGAUAUCGGGGCUGGCCGGCACAGGAAAGUGGAGAAGAUCCGGGGCCAGGCUCCAUGCUCUUUGUUGUUAAGGCACUGCAGGCAGAGCAAAAACCUGAACAAAAUGGCUACAAGUAAAAGAAUUAUAAGGACUGUGAUUUUUCUGUCUUGAAUUGUCUGAUUCAUACAAUGCAAAGGGCGCACCAGCUCUGGAAUGAGGAACAACCUGACCAAUGAAAUGCUUUGUUAAAACGUCACAUCUCGCCACAGAUUUUUAACCAAUUACAUUUUUGUUUUAGGGGGGGACUGGUUAACCAUAUAUGCAUACGUUACAUCGCAUACAUCUGGUGCGUGUUUCUAUCUGUUUUUCCGCACACUCUCCAGGGUAUCUGGGAUAUCACAGUGAGGCUAUUUCAUUGUCACUGCUCUCAGAUAUCUUGGCUGUUUGUGCUCCGUCCGUUUUGAGUGUGUAACCUUGGAGUGUAUCCUGCUAUGGGGGCACUACAGAAGGUUCAUCUGAGGACACGGUUUUGGUUUCGGGUGGAAAGCCAAUGCCUCACAGCAUGUGCCAGUAAGAUGCCCCUCGCUCUCCAGGAGUGGGUCACAUUAAUACAAGCUCUUGUGCUCGCUAUGACAGCGCUACACACAGCUUUAACGACUCCAACAAGCAAAAUUUUAUUAUUUUAUAAGCACGCCCACACACACAACGUACUAUUGAACAUGAUUAUAGAAUUAAGAAGGAUUUGUUUUGGUUUAAAAAAAAAAAAACAUAAUUCAAUAAUGAAUACAAUAGGAAGAUGCAGGACAAUUCAUAAAUAUGAGAGUCAGAACAUGCCUAUAAGUGCGCUGUGAAAUGUUUAGGUUUUAUGCUUAAGAGAGCUUCUCUGCAAGAGUAUUCUUUGAGUUAAGCAGAAGAGAAUACAUAUUGCUAACUGGUACAACCAUAUCAUUUCUAAACAGAAUUUGAAUCCCGUGCAUAGACAUAGACGAUGUUUGAAAAAGAAACAUGUUGUGAGAGAAAUAAAUUAGCCGCUCCCGAGAGGCUUGUGGUUGAUAGAGAGCCCCUGUUCCCUGUCCCUAUCUGUCCAUAUCAGUUCAUUCUUAUGAAAGCUCGGAUAGAAAACAAAAUGGAUACCCUCUUCAUGCCCGAGGAACAUACAGCAUAAGCUCCUGUCUCACUAUACUCUCACUUCUAAGUAUAGGCUAUACUAUUAAACAUGCUAACCUAUUACAAAUAAAUUGCCUUCAAUAUCCAGGUUUCUUUCAUUUGUUCUUUGUCUCUUUCUUAUUUUUUUCUAAUCAUAGGAAGAUAUUGUGAAAUGCAUUGAGCUGCAAUAUAAAAUUGAAUAUGAAGGAGGAUUUAAACGACGAGAGGAAAGUAUAUAUAUUACAUUGUAAUCAUAUAUGCCUUCUAGGCUGUAAAUUGUAUAUAUUUUACUAUAUCUUUGUGUUCAAUGUCAAAAUGAAGUAUGUC
This is a long non-coding RNA of Clupea harengus (Atlantic herring), 3260 nucleotides long. The record is from Ensembl. NCBI's taxonomy places the organism in Eukaryota, Metazoa, Chordata, Actinopteri, Clupeiformes, Clupeidae.